CCCUUAGAUGUCCGGGGCCGCACGCGCGCUACACUGAAGGAAUCAGCGUGGCUCUGUCCCUGGUCCGAAAGGAUUGGGAAACCCGUUGAAUCUCCUUCGUGAUAGGGAUUGGGGCUUGGAACUGUUCCCCAUGAACGAGGAAUUCCCAGUAAGCGCGAGUCAUAAGCUCGCGUUGAUUACGUCCCUGCCCUUUGUACACACCGCCCGUCGCUACUACCGAUUGAGUGAUCCGGUGAAUAAUUCGGACUGCAGCAGUGCUUGGUCCUCCGGGCUUUGCAGCGGAAAGUUUAGUGAACCUUAUCACUUAGAGGAAGGAGAAGUCGUAACA
Molecule: ribosomal RNA, 328 nt
Filed under: uncultured eukaryote
Lineage: Eukaryota
Description: partial 18S ribosomal RNA
Rfam family: Eukaryotic small subunit ribosomal RNA
Source: RNAcentral